This 301-nucleotide ribosomal RNA is filed under the name uncultured bacterium. RNAcentral describes it as "partial 16S ribosomal RNA". It matches the Rfam family "Bacterial small subunit ribosomal RNA", at positions 509 to 807 of the family's 1533-position model. The record is from RNAcentral.
CAGCCGCCACGGUAAUACGUAGGGUGCAAGCGUUAAUCGGAAUUACUGGGCGUAAAGCGUGCGCAGGCGGUUUCGUAAGUCUGUCGUGAAAUCCCCGGGCUCAACCUGGGAAUGGCGAUGGAGACUGCAAGGCUAGAAUCUGGCAGAGGGGGGUAGAAUUCCACGUGUAGCAGUGAAAUGCGUAGAUAUGUGGAGGAACACCGAUGGCGAAGGCAGCCCCCUGGGCUAAGAUUGACGCUCAUGCACGAAAGCGUGGAGAGCAAACAGGAUUAGAUACCCGAGUAGUCCCUGUCUCUUAUAC